UCAUCGUAGGGUUAGUCGGGACCUAAGUCGAGUCCGAAAGGGGUAGACGAUGGCAAAUCGGUUAAUAUUCCGAUACCGACAUUACAUCAUUUGAGUGAUGGGGGGACGCAUAGAGUUAGACGAGGUCACUGAUGGAAUAGUGGCUCGAAGGGUGUAGGUUGUAGCGUAGGCAAAUCCGCGCUACAUUCGACCGAGACCUGACAGGCAGACCAAUCUCUUCGGAGAGCGGUUUGAAUCGUCGAUACUGUCGUGCCGAGAAAAGCCUCUAAACGAGAUGUAAUGUUGCCCGUACCGUAAACCGACACAGGUGGGUGAGAUGAGUAUUCUAAGGCGCGUGGAUGAACCCUUGUUAAGGAACUCUGCAAACUAGCACCGUAUCUUCGGUAUAAGGUGUGCCCUUAGCGUUAGAGGACUUGCUCCUCAAAGCGCUUCUGGGUCGCAGCAAAGAGUCCCUCCCGACUGUUUAC
RNAcentral lists this ribosomal RNA (467 nucleotides) under uncultured Campylobacterota bacterium. RNAcentral describes it as "bacterial LSU rRNA". It matches the Rfam family "Bacterial large subunit ribosomal RNA", at positions 1369 to 1807 of the family's 2925-position model. The record is from RNAcentral. Lineage: Bacteria; Pseudomonadati; Campylobacterota.